AGGAUAUUAGUUAAAUCAUUAAUAUAACAUUUAUUUUGCAAAUAAAAAUUAUUUUAUAAAUAUAUCUUU
This 69-nucleotide transfer RNA is filed under the name Dolichovespula flora. Its description in RNAcentral is "tRNA-Ala". Lineage: Eukaryota; Metazoa; Arthropoda; Insecta; Hymenoptera; Vespidae. The record is from RNAcentral.